AGUGCUGAUGAGUACAGCUUCUUCCUCUCAAGGACCAAUGAUGAAGGAGGAUCGAAGAAGGAAAUCAAAGGAGGAAACCGAAGGAGGUUUGGCUUCACAGUUCGCCCAGCUGCUAUUAGGAAGAAAGCUGGAAGCACUGGCCACCAAAAGAGUGAAGGACCUCCAGCCGCCAUUGGAAAAUGGAAAGAAAGCUAGAAGCACUGGUCAUCGAAGGAGGAGUAGAGGACUGAAGAAGGAAACCCAAAAACCCUAGAUCUAGAAGUCGGAUCGAAGGUGGAAAGAG
RNAcentral lists this long non-coding RNA (283 nucleotides) under Elaeis guineensis (African oil palm). RNAcentral describes it as "long non-coding RNA (EGUI_LNC003315)". Lineage: Eukaryota; Viridiplantae; Streptophyta; Magnoliopsida; Arecales; Arecaceae. The record is from RNAcentral.